CCCUUAGAUGUUCUGGGCCGCACGCGUGCUACACUGAGUGGAUCAGCGGGUCAGGUUGCGCGAAAGUGUUUCCUAAUCUUUAAUCCGCUCGUGAUGGGGAUUGACGGUUGCAAUUUUCCGUCAUGAACGAGGAAUACCUUGUAAGCGCGGGUCAUCAUCCCGCGCUGAAUACGUCCCUGCCCUUUGUACACACCGCCCGUCGCUCCUACCGAUUGAGUGGUCCGGUGAGGCUUUGGGAUCUGAGCGGAAAGAGCGUUUCGCUGUUUCUGCCCGGAAAACUCAGUCGAACCUUAUCAUUUAGAGGAAGGAGAAGUCGUAACA
This 321-nucleotide ribosomal RNA is filed under the name uncultured eukaryote. Its description in RNAcentral is "partial 18S ribosomal RNA". It matches the Rfam family "Eukaryotic small subunit ribosomal RNA", at positions 1470 to 1796 of the family's 1831-position model. The record is from RNAcentral.